RNAcentral lists this unclassified non-coding RNA (289 nucleotides) under Hevea brasiliensis (rubber tree). The record is from RNAcentral. Lineage: Eukaryota; Viridiplantae; Streptophyta; Magnoliopsida; Malpighiales; Euphorbiaceae.
GCCUCACUAAUGGCCAACUACCAACUGGAUAAAUGUAUUCACAUUACAAAGAAUAAAUAAAAAGCAAUCUAUUGUAGGAAUCUUGCUGGCUUUUAGCUCCACCAUCCAAGUUGAUGAGAGAAAUGAUUUGGGUUAUGGGCCAGCCAGUGAGCCUGCAGGAGUCUCAAAUCUUCACUUGAUUCGGUAGGUAUUGGAAGAAAACUUAAAGUUUACAAUAUGGAACAAAUAGGAUUAGUUUAGUCAAGAAAAAUGAGAGCCCUUUUAUUAAUCCAAAUUUGUUUUCUUUGCA